GGAUCAACUAACUGGUCGUGCCUAUGGUACGUACUGGUUUUGUUGGUUUCUCCCUCUGAGGAGCCGCGAUGUCAUUAACUUGGUGUCGUGGGGAAUCAGACUGUUACUUUGAAAAAAUUAGAGUGUUUAAAGCAGGCUAACGCCUGAAUACAUUAGCAUGGAAUAAUGGAAUAGGGCUGC
RNAcentral lists this ribosomal RNA (180 nucleotides) under uncultured Glomeromycotina. RNAcentral describes it as "partial small subunit ribosomal RNA". Lineage: Eukaryota; Fungi; Glomeromycota. The record is from RNAcentral.